RNAcentral lists this ribosomal RNA (441 nucleotides) under uncultured bacterium. RNAcentral's name for it is "partial 16S ribosomal RNA". It matches the Rfam family "Bacterial small subunit ribosomal RNA", at positions 338 to 795 of the family's 1533-position model. The record is from RNAcentral.
CCUACGGGCGGCAGCAGUGGGGGAUAUUGCACAAUGGGGGGAACCCUGAUGCAGCGACGCCGCGUGGGUGAAGGAGUGCUUCGGCAUGUAAAGCCCUAUCGGCAGGGAAGAAGCAAGACGGUACCUGACUAAGAAGCCCCGGCUAACUACGUGCCAGCAGCCGCGGUAAUACGUAGGGGGCGAGCGUUAUCCGGAUUCACUGGGUGUAAAGGGAGCGUAGACGGCCAUGCAAGCCAGGGGUGAAAGCCCGGGGCCCAACCCCGGGACUGCCCUUGGAACUGGGCGGCUAGAGUGCGGGAGGGGCAGGCGGAAUUCCUGGUGUAGCGGUGAAAUGCGUAGAUAUCAGGAGGAACACCGGCGGCGAAGGCGGCCUGCUGGACUGCGACUGACGUUGAGGCUCGAAAGCGUGGGGAGCGAACAGGAUUAGAUACCCGGGUAGUC